AGUGAACGCUGGCGGUAGGCCUAACACAUGCAAGUCGAACGGCAGCACAGGAGAGCUUGCUCUCUAGGUGGCGAGUGGCGGACGGGUGAGGAAUACAUCGGAAUCUGCCCAGUCGUGGGGGAUAACGUAGGGAAACUUACGCUAAUACCGCAUACGACCUUCGGGUGAAAGAGGGGGAUCGCAAGACCUCUCGCGAUUGGAUGAGCCGAUGUCGGAUUAGCUAGUUAGCGGGGUAAUGGCCCACCAAGGCGACGAUCCGUAGCUGGUCUGAGAGGAUGAUCAGCCACACUGGAACUGAGACACGGUCCAGACUCCUACGGGAGGCAGCAGUGGGGAAUAUUGGACAAUGGGCGCAAGCCUGAUCCAGCCAUACCGCGUGGGUGAAGAAGGCCUUCGGGUUGUAAAGCCCUUUUGUUGGGAAAGAAAUCUUUCAGGCUAAUACCCUGGGAGGAUGACUGUACCCAAAGAAUAAGCACCGGCUAACUUCGUG
This 490-nucleotide ribosomal RNA is filed under the name uncultured bacterium. RNAcentral's name for it is "partial 16S ribosomal RNA". It matches the Rfam family "Bacterial small subunit ribosomal RNA", at positions 29 to 507 of the family's 1533-position model. The record is from RNAcentral.